CCCUCGCCUGACCAAAUCGCCUUCGAAGCUACAAACGGAGACGUGCAUUCAUUUGCUCGUCUCGAUGCUCUGACUCUUUUCUGCUUUGGGAGAAAGUCCCCGGACAGUUCUUUUCAUUCCUCGCGCCCUGUUCUCCGCCUCGAAAGAGAGGAGGAUCGAGAGCGAGGAUGUUCACGAAGAGACGAUGCGGAAACGCGCCGCCGUAAUGACACCUGCGGCUCAUCUCUGCCCAAUAUGGGGCAUCAUUCUUCUCUUUUCCAUUCCCCUUUUCUCGUUCUUUUCCGAUCCUUUGCGUUUUCACCCCGGUCACUGUUCCUUUUCCCUUGCACGGCCUCGCUCUGGCGAUCCCUUGCUGUUCCAUUACGCCCUGAUUCUUUUGAGUUCUCUCUUGUUUCAACGGGGACGUCCGAUAUUUCCUAUUUAUUCAACUCUUUUACCCUUUUCCUUUCUUCCCAGCUUGUCUGUAUUGCUUUCUCCUGGCGAUCUCUUUCUUUUCCAUCUUGCCCUGGCUUUGCUUUUGCUAUUUCCUUGUCUUUUCCUUGUUUGGUUUCCUCUCAUUCUCAACUCGUUCUUCUCAUCGUUUGUUUGCUCGCCAUUCCCUUUUCAUCAGUCCCGUGGCAUUGUGCGCUCUUGUGCACCCUUUGAGGGAGUUGUCCUUGCUGAAAGCCGCGGCUUCUUUCUACACUUGCUCUUUACUCCUUUCCAACAGUCUCUUGACUCGUUUGUACUCGCAUCUUACUUGGCACAUGAAGGGGCGCUGGCGAUGGCAGAUUCGUGCAUCAGGCUUUUCUGUUCAGAUUCGGGUGUUGCUGGUUGGUCUUGUCGGUUUCUUUCUUUCUGCUCUUGGCUCUCUACCUGCACAGUAAACGGCACCACCUAUGGACGAAGAUACGAGUCCGCUGUUGUUUGCUGUUUGGGCUAGAGGCUGGGAGUGGUGGCUUGAUGUCUGGCUUGCACUAGCUGGUGUAUACUUGCUUCUGUCUCGGGAGUACGGGCUUGUUUGUCGGUUUGUUGGAGGCUCGCUGGAUUGCUAAGAUUUGACGGAGACAUGAGGGUCCUGAGCGGAGGGGGUUCCGUAAAGGCGGUUGGACUGAAUAUUGCGGUGAGUAUGCCUGGAUCGCGUUAUCACCUUGGGGGUCACCACAUGAGGCACGGAGUCUAGUACUCAGGUGCUCGGGAUGGAAUUGGGAACUCUGGGGCUACAAUGGAGAGGACGGGGAGAGGUUACCGACUUGGUAAGCAGGAAGAGUAGAGCGGGUCGCCAAGGGGUGAGUCUGGAGAGACGGAGGGUGGGAGGAGCAUUGGAUGAGAUGGUGGUGAGGCGAGAGCAAGAGGGGGGAGAGACUUGGGUGAUGAUCCGGGGUGCUCGAGAGGAGAGAGAGGAAAAGGGUGGGCAGCGAGGAGGAGGAGUGUUGCUGGAGGGCUGAGGAGAGCGGCCAUUUGUGGGUGAGGCACGAAGAGGAGGUUGAGACGGACAGGGAGCGUGGGCUUGAGGCUCAAGGAGUGGUGUCUCGGGCUGGGGAGUGUUUCGUCCGACUACGAUAGGCAUGCGAUUGCUCGUCGAAACGCAGGAAUGCCGCUUGACGAGUUACUCGAUGGGGCUUAUUAUCGGAGCGAGG
This is a non-coding RNA of Ophiostoma piceae, 1619 nucleotides long. The record is from Rfam. NCBI's taxonomy places the organism in Eukaryota, Fungi, Ascomycota, Sordariomycetes, Ophiostomatales, Ophiostomataceae.